GGUAAGAUGGCUGAGGUUAAGCGGUGGACUGUAAAUCCGUAUAGAAGGGAGAGAUGCCCUUUCUUACCA
Molecule: transfer RNA, 69 nt
Filed under: Narcine timlei (blackspotted numbfish)
Lineage: Eukaryota; Metazoa; Chordata; Chondrichthyes; Torpediniformes; Narcinidae
Description: tRNA-Tyr
Rfam family: tRNA
About the family: Transfer RNA (tRNA) molecules are approximately 80 nucleotides in length. Their secondary structure includes four short double-helical elements and three loops (D, anti-codon, and T loops). Further hydrogen bonds mediate the characteristic L-shaped molecular structure. tRNAs have two regions of fundamental functional importance: the anti-codon, which is responsible for specific mRNA codon recognition, and the 3' end, to which the tRNAs corresponding amino acid is attached (by aminoacyl-tRNA synthetases). tRNAs cope with the degeneracy of the genetic code in two manners: having more than one tRNA (with a specific anti-codon) for a particular amino acid; and 'wobble' base-pairing, i.e. permitting non-standard base-pairing at the 3rd anti-codon position.
Source: RNAcentral